UUCAAUUCAACAUAAGCCUUACAUUCAAUUCAUUAUGACUCACUUUCACAUUAGCAUGCUCAAAGACCAACGCUUUCAUUAAUUAGCCCAAUAAGACUCAUUCAUUCAUUAUCAUUACUAAGACACACCAAGAUCUCCCUUAAAUGUCUACUUGUGCAAUGUCUAGAUGAUGUCCCAUUCCACCACCUAUCCUAAGUAGUACACCCUUAAGAGACCCUAAUUCAU
RNAcentral lists this long non-coding RNA (225 nucleotides) under Solanum tuberosum (potato). RNAcentral describes it as "long non-coding RNA (STUB_LNC009082)". The record is from RNAcentral. Lineage: Eukaryota; Viridiplantae; Streptophyta; Magnoliopsida; Solanales; Solanaceae.